AGGAUCAGACAUUUUUCGGUUUGCUUUCAAAAUAAAAGUGUGUAAUUGACAGUGAUGCAAAUGAAUACAAAUAGUAGAAUUAUACCAUACUUUUAUUUUGAAGACUAAACGCAAAGUCCACUAUUGUGGCUAAUCCUUAUUGUGGCUAGUUUCACAUAGAUGGGUCCGCCCACCAUUAAUCAAAUAAGAACUGUCUUAUAAAUGAGGGUUACUUUAGAUGAUGACACCUAGCUAUAUAGUUAGCAAGCUAACUAUAGCUACUGAAACAGAUUAUGUAGUUUUGCUGUGUUUUUGGCGAAGAACAUUGUUUGCAUCCAUGAGCUAGCUUUUUUUAUGACCAGCACUGUAGAUGCACGAGACAACUUUACCAGCAUCAUAGCAUACGUAUCGAUGAAUCAUUGGGACAUAUGAAAUACGAGUGAUAGUGUAAUCAAUGUGUAAUAACUACGUAAAAAAUGUAUGAAAGCGUUAAAUGAUUAUGUGAUGUGCAAUCAUAUUCAGGUCCUGAUUGGUCAACAAGUGUUAUUUGACACGCAAAGACCCAAACGGCGUUCCAUAGAAAUCCUGGUUGAGAAUGAAACGACUGAACGAAUUAACAACGAAACAGCACAGCAAUCUCUAGGGUGUGGGAGCGUAAUCUACACAGCAACAGCGCCGGACACCAAGGAGCACCAAGAGGCUGGGACCAGCCUGAGAGCCGGCGAUAGGCUGAGCAAGUUUAAACCACGCUCAGCCUCUACUGUGAUAGGCCAACAGACGGGUUGGAACUACGUCUAUCACAGUAUAAGAACAGCUGUUUACUUACAUCCUGUUAGUUCUCUGCUUUACCCUGCGUGGUGAUACAGUGAAUCCGUAUAUACGAAAAUUGCAUUUACUAUUUAUCGCUUGAGUUUAAUAAAAAUACUUAAAGUAUA
Molecule: long non-coding RNA, 914 nt
Organism: Salvelinus fontinalis (brook trout)
Lineage: Eukaryota; Metazoa; Chordata; Actinopteri; Salmoniformes; Salmonidae
Exons: 2
Source: RefSeq, a predicted model, not a curated record